AUGUUCUGUCCCCUCCCUCAAAUCAGAAAAGCAUCUUUCUAUCUCUCUCUCCCUUCGAACACUCCCUCUCCCUCUCUCUCUAUACACGGAUCAUCACCAAAGUUCAUCAAAUCUUCAUAGAUCGAGGAAACAAAGAUCACCAUCGUGUUCAUCUCGUCAAUACGAGUUCAUCCAUACUAGUUUCAGGAGUUUUUAAGCUCAUAGUGAGCUUAAGGAGGUUCUUAGGAAGCUCGGAGUGCUUCGUUGGAAGUUUUGGAUGCCAAAAACACAGAGAUCGGAAAGUUCAAAGUUUGGCCGGAACUUUCGAGGCGUUUUACGGCCAAACCACGGAGAGUUAGAUGUCGUGCGAGUUUCCGGCGAGUCCGACGGCUUUCGAGGCUUUUUCCGGUGAAUUCCCGGCGAGUUAAGGGUCGAGACAGGUAUAUAUGUGUUCGUCUCGUCAAUAUCUUCAUUUUUAUAUAAAGUACGUUGAAAAUGGUGAAGAAAUGACAAAGUUAUGGCAAUUUGAAAAACUGCCCAGAAACCGGCGAAAAAAGUCUGGCGAGCCGAGGAAGAAGGAAAACCCGAAGUUUUUCGUUCAAGAACCGUGGCCUUUUAGUCACUUUCAAACCAUUUUUCUGGUCAACCUCGACCACAACUGAACUUCUUCUAGGGGAAACUUAUUCCGAGGAUUUUCGAGGCCAAGCUAGGCUCGGGGGCUACGACCCAACGACGUACGUACUUGACCUAAAUAAUUGUACUCUCUGUGGCAUUCGAGGAAUCACGACAGUUCUGACAUUUCCUUCUGUUUAGACGUACGAACUUAUCACUACUAUGUAAUAAGUGUACUUUGGGUUGCUUUGACUACUCUUUCGUAGUCUCACUGUCUAUUACGCUUUGAAUAAUUGUAGUGGGUUCAACCCACGAAUUGCGCACUCUUUCACUGUUUAGUCCUACCUAGUUUUAAUUUUAUUCACUUUUUGCAUCACUUACCCUUAUGGUUACGUCACCUCACGGUGACGGCCAGCAUGCUUCGACCUUUUCAGGUCGGGGUGUGUC
RNAcentral lists this small RNA (1038 nucleotides) under Malus domestica (apple). Its description in RNAcentral is "sRNA MD03G0196000". Lineage: Eukaryota; Viridiplantae; Streptophyta; Magnoliopsida; Rosales; Rosaceae. The record is from RNAcentral.